CAGCCCCUCGAGUGGUAGGGAUGAUUAUUUGGCCUAAAGCGUCCGUAGCCGGCCGGAUAAGUCUCCCGUUAAAUCCAGCGUCUCAAGCGUUGGACUGCGGGAGAUACUGUCUGGCUAGAGAGUGGGAGAGGUGUACGGUAUUCUGGGGGUAGGGGCGAAAUCCUUUGAUCCCCGGAGGACCACCAGUGGCGAAGGCUGUGCACUAGAACACGUCUGACGGUCAGGGACGAAAGCUGGGGGAGCAAACCGGAUUAGAUACCCGAGUAGUCC
This 270-nucleotide ribosomal RNA is filed under the name uncultured archaeon. RNAcentral's name for it is "partial 16S ribosomal RNA". It matches the Rfam family "Archaeal small subunit ribosomal RNA", at positions 477 to 747 of the family's 1478-position model. The record is from RNAcentral.